This 468-nucleotide ribosomal RNA is filed under the name uncultured bacterium. Its description in RNAcentral is "partial 16S ribosomal RNA". It matches the Rfam family "Bacterial small subunit ribosomal RNA", at positions 28 to 507 of the family's 1533-position model. The record is from RNAcentral.
GAUGAACGCUGGCGGCGUGCUUAACACAUGCAAGUCGAACGGAAAGGCCCUGCUUUUGUGGGGUGCUCGAGUGGCGAACGGGUGAGUAACACGUGAGUAACCUGCCCUUGACUUUGGGAUAACUUCAGGAAACUGGGGCUAAUACCGGAUAGGAGCUCCUGCUGCAUGGUGGGGGCUGGAAAGUUUCGGCGGUUGGGGAUGGACUCGCGGCUUAUCAGCUUGUUGGUGGGGUAGUGGCUUACCAAGGCUUUGACGGGUAGCCGGCCUGAGAGGGUGACCGGCCACAUUGGGACUGAGAUACGGCCCAGACUCCUACGGGAGGCAGCAGUGGGGAAUAUUGCACAAUGGGCGGAAGCCUGAUGCAGCAACGCCGCGUGCGGGAUGACGGCCUUCGGGUUGUAAACCGCUUUCGCCUGUGACGAAGCGUGAGUGACGGUAAUGGGUAAAGAAGCACCGGCUAACUACGUG